GAGGGUAAACUAAGCAUAUC
RNAcentral lists this microRNA (20 nucleotides) under Parasteatoda tepidariorum (common house spider). RNAcentral's name for it is "pte-miR-11959-5p". The record is from miRBase by way of RNAcentral. Lineage: Eukaryota; Metazoa; Arthropoda; Arachnida; Araneae; Theridiidae.